RNAcentral lists this ribosomal RNA (432 nucleotides) under uncultured bacterium. RNAcentral's name for it is "partial 16S ribosomal RNA". It matches the Rfam family "Bacterial small subunit ribosomal RNA", at positions 29 to 506 of the family's 1533-position model. The record is from RNAcentral.
AGCGAACGCUGGCGGCAGGCCUAACACAUGCAAGUCGAACGGAUCCUUCGGGAUUAGUGGCGGACGGGUGAGUAACACGUGGGAACGUGCCCUUUGGUUCGGAACAACUCAGGGAAACUUGAGCUAAUACCGGAUGUGCCCUUCGGGGGAAAGAUUUAUCGCCAUUGGAGCGGCCCGCGUCUGAUUAGCUAGUUGGUGAGGUAACGGCCCACCAAGGCGACGAUCAGUAGCUGGUCUGAGAGGAUGAUCAGCCACACUGGGACUGAGACACGGCCCAGACUCCUACGGGAGGCAGCAGUGGGAAAUCUUGCGCAAUGGGCGAAAGCCUGACGCAGCCAUGCCGCGUGAAUGAUGAAGGUCUUAGGAUUGUAAAAUUCUUUCAGCGGGGACGAUAAUGACGGUACCCGCAGAAGAAGCUCCGGCUAACUUCGC